AAGGAGCUAGAUGUUAUAAGGCAAGCAUCAAUGAAGAGAGAAUUCAAGGAAAAGGCUUUAGCAGAAGAGAAAGAGAAAUUGCAGGCUGAAUUAUUAUCUAUAAGACAAAGAGUAUCUGAGUAAGGAGAGAUGUGAUCUCUCUCAUCGUGUGAGGGAGAAUGAAGAGAAGGUGGAGACAUUACUCUGCAGACUCAACGAUUGUAAGCAAUCAAAGGAAGAGAUCUAUGAGCAAAUGGUUAAACAAAGACAGGAGCAGAAGGAUGAUUAUGAGUCAAGACUACAGCAUGAACUGGAGUCACUG
This is a long non-coding RNA of Amphimedon queenslandica, 301 nucleotides long. RefSeq lists it as uncharacterized. Lineage: Eukaryota; Metazoa; Porifera; Demospongiae; Haplosclerida; Niphatidae. The transcript is spliced from 3 exons. The record is from RefSeq and is a predicted model, not a curated record.